UCUCGUCUUUCCUUUCCACGCCAAUCAAUUCUUUUUUCCUUUCUUUUUUUUCUUCUCUUCUCUCUUUGUCUCCUUCUUCUCUUCGUCAAGUUGAAGAAAAGAUGCACAGCCCAGAAGAUUAAGUCCUUAAUCAAUUAAUCGAUGAGUUCCAGAAGAUCUGUAUCAACGAAGACGGCGAACAUCGACAGAUGCACAUGACCGCCACGGCGACACCACUUCUUCGCCGAGAGACGCCGUAAAAGUCACCACUAGGGUUCGAGACAGAAAAAGUAAUCCGGCGACAGAAGAGUUCUGAGGAGACGGUGGCGGAGAAAAAGGCUUGUACCGCGGGUGGAGUGCCGGUUCUUACCCUCCACCGGGUAUGUUGCAGCCGGCAACUGGACUCGUCGGCAAACGAAAUCCGGCUGAAGACUGAGGCGGCGGCUAAAGACUGUUACGUGAUUAGAGUUUUUUUUUUUUGUGUUUUUAGCAUCCGGUUCAACCGGGGUUUUGUAAUUGAUUCAAUUUGGUAACUGUUAACCAUUCCCGGUUUGGGUGGUUUAUUAAUACAAAUAUAUUUAUUAAUU
Long non-coding RNA from Arabidopsis lyrata subsp. lyrata, 566 nucleotides. RefSeq lists it as uncharacterized. The transcript is spliced from 2 exons. Lineage: Eukaryota; Viridiplantae; Streptophyta; Magnoliopsida; Brassicales; Brassicaceae. The record is from RefSeq and is a predicted model, not a curated record.